CGAAUUGUAGUUUAGAGAAGCAUUUUCGGGGAUAGCUCGGGUGUAGGUCCUUUGGAACGAGGCAUCAGAGAGGGUGAGAAUCCCGUACCGCCCAGAGUCUAUUCCUAUGUGAUAUGCUUUCAACGAGUCGGGUUGUUUGGGAUUGCAGCCCAAAAUGGGUGGUAAAUACCAUCUAAAGCUAAAUACUGGCGGGAGACCGAUAGCGAACAAGUACCGUGAGGGAAAGAUGAAAAGAACUUUGAAAAGAGAGUUAAACAGUACGUGAAAUUGCCAAAAGGGAAGCGCUUGGAACCAGUGUUGCAACCUGUAAUCAGCCGGUCUUAGACCGGUGCACUUGCAGGAAGCAGGUCAACAUCAGUUCGGUUUGGGUUAAAAAGCCUUGGAACGGUCUUCGGACCGAGCCAUUGUUAUGGCCUGGGCCGGACUGAGGUCCGCUUAUAGGAUGUUGACGAAAUGGUUUCAAACGACCCGUCUUGAAACACGGACCAAGGAGUCUAACAAAUACGCGAGUAUUCGGGUGGCAAACCCUUAUGCGCAAUGAAAGUGAAAUUGGUGGGAACCUCGGUGCACCAUCGACCGGUCUGGAUUUUUUUGAUAGAUCUGAGUAAGAGCGUAUCUGUUAGGACCCGAAAGAUGGUGAACUAUGCCUGAAUAGGGUGAAGCCAGAGGAAACUCUGGUGGAGGCUCGUAGCGAUUCUGACGUGCAAAUCGAUCGUCAAAUUUGGGUAUAGGGGCGAAAGACUAA
RNAcentral lists this ribosomal RNA (745 nucleotides) under Cylindrochytridium johnstonii. RNAcentral's name for it is "eukaryotic LSU rRNA". It matches the Rfam family "Eukaryotic large subunit ribosomal RNA", at positions 139 to 934 of the family's 3401-position model. Lineage: Eukaryota; Fungi; Chytridiomycota; Chytridiomycetes; Cladochytriales; Cladochytriaceae. The record is from RNAcentral.